This 398-nucleotide transfer-messenger RNA is filed under the name Tannerella sp. It matches the Rfam family "transfer-messenger RNA". Rfam says of the family: Bacterial tmRNA, also known as 10Sa RNA or SsrA, is named for its dual tRNA and mRNA-like properties. Lineage: Bacteria; Pseudomonadati; Bacteroidota; Bacteroidia; Bacteroidales; Tannerellaceae. The record is from RNAcentral.
GGGGCUGACCGGUUUUGACAGCGGGUAGAAGUGGUUUGUAAGCAUGCAGUGCGUCGUUGGCCGGCACUAUAAUCCCGGUUGAUAAAAAUUUAACUGGCGAAAACAAUUAUGCUCUCGCUGCUUGAUCGAAGUAUAGUAGAUUAAAGCUUUAUCCUUACACCAGGUGUUUGGACGAGACGUCACCCGGAGCUGUGGCUUCGAAGCAUUCCGAUCCGGUGGCGCAGAUAUAUCGGAGAUAGUCUGACGGAAGUUCCGCACGGCAGAUGAAAAUAAGGAACUAAGGUUGCAGUUGGUGGCUUCGGUCUUGCCGCAACACGAAAACCAAGGCGAAGAUAAGCAUGUAGAAAGCAAAUUAAUUCCUCGUUUGGACGAGAGUUCGAAUCUCUCCAGCUCCACAU